Molecule: long non-coding RNA, 1344 nt
Filed under: Capra hircus (goat)
Lineage: Eukaryota; Metazoa; Chordata; Mammalia; Artiodactyla; Bovidae
Description: lncRNA (ENSCHIG00000006155.1)
Source: RNAcentral
UAAUCCUGUCCUCACUGCCCCCUGCCUCAGAGGGAGCAAGCCCUUUACCUCAAUGCCAGUUGAAGAUCAUUGCAAAUAUAUUAAAUCUGAUGGAAAUCUGCCGCAUUAAAUGUUAGUUACAUAUGAACUGACUUGUUACUAACUAGGUGAUACACUGUUGUGAUUUGUAAGCAUUUCAUUAGAUUUUUAUUUUAUGGUUUAUUUUUCUGUUAUGAUAAUCCAUUUUUAUUUUUCAGGCCUCAAACAUUUUGUGGGACAUUACAAAACUCACGUCCUCUGUGCCCAUGGAACUUUGUGACUCAAACAACCGUGACUGAGGUGCCAGGCUCGCUGGCACUGUGGUAAGUGACAUCGCCUCCAUGUGACCACACAUGUACACCGAAGGAUGAGCUGCAGUGUCAGCAGGCUUCCAGGACACUGCUCACAACAUAAAUGCACAUCUCCCCACCCUCCCCUGUUACAAUGGGCUUCCUGGGCCAUCUGCCUUCCUCUUACUCACAGGUUCCUCUCCACUCCACACUCCUCUGCUUCCAGGACCUUGGGCCCAGAAAGGUCAACCCAGAGCCUGAAGUGGUAGAAAUUCUGGAUCCUGGGUUCUCCAUGGCCGAUCUAGGGAGCAGAGGGCUGGAUGCCAUCUAUUUUUGCCAGCCUGUACCGGCCAGUUGACAAGAACCCCUUAAUAUGAGCAGGUGCAAGGCAACGAGGCCUUUGUUCAGCUCAAACCCACACCCGAUGGGCUUUCCUGGCCCACACAGCCGUGGGAGCUUAGCAAUAAAAGGACUCUGAAAACUUUGGCAUGCCUGUGAAGCUGGCUGAAUAAACCAUCCUUGAAGCUGUGGUUUGGCUCCAAGUAUCAGACGGCUCUCCUGCAUUCAGCUACGUCACAGCUCAAUGUGCAAGCUCUUCCGAGGGCUGGCAGCCCCCUUUACUGCAAUCCCCACUUCUUGUUCUUGCCUUCCCUUGAAACUUCCAGUUUUAGGCCCCAGUCCUGAAGGUGUUUAUGUUUAUGAAAACCAUUAGGAUUUGCUGAGUCACAUUGGGACUAAAUGAAAUCAACCCUGAAUAUCCAUUGGAAGGACUGAUGCUGAAACUGAAGUCCUAAUACUUUGACCCCUGAUGUGAAGAACCAUUGAAAAGACCCAGAUGCUGGGAAAGAUUGAGGACAGGAGGAGAAGGGGAUGACAGAGAAUGAGAUGAUUGGAUGGCAUCACUGACUCCAUGGACGUGAGUUUGAGCAAGCUCCAGGAGACAGUGAAGGACAGGGAAGCCUGGCAUGCCGCAGUCCAUGGGGUCAAAAAGAAGCAGACACGAUCGAGUGACUGAACAACAAAUUGGGACUAAGGG